CUCUUUCUCGAUUCAGUGGAUGGUGGUGCAUGGCCGUUCUUAGUUGGUGGAGUGAUCUGUCUGGUUAAUUCCGAUAACGAACGAGACUCUCCCCUGCUAACUAGUCGGUUGGAUCUUGAUCAGUGGGUUGAGUGCCGAGUAACUCUCGCUGUGCGUGUUGUGCGUCGCGUUCCUCACGGUUCGUUGCGUGCUCAUGUGUGGCGUUGGAUGCCUUGGAUCACACUGCACCCCAAGUCCGCCGCUUUGCUAUAACUCUUCUUAGAGGGAUUCACGGCACUGAAGCCGUAAGAGACUGAGAGCAAUAACAGGUCUGUGAUGCCCUUAGAUGCUCUGGGCCGCACGCGCGCUACAAUGCCGGGCACAGCAGGUGUUUCUCCUGCUCCGACAGGAGCGGGUAACCCUCUGAAAGCCAGUGUUCUUGCAAGUGCUUCCUCCCUCGUGGAGUUGCACAGAGGCGUGCUUGGGCCUGGGACUUGCAAUUCUUUCCCACCAACGAGGAAUGCCUAGUAGCGGCGGGUCACUGAGCCCGCUGUGACUCAGUCCCUGCCCUUUGUACACACCGCCCGUCGCUACUACCGAUUGGGUGUACCAGUGAGAGCCUUGGACUGGCGUCCGUUGUUGCUCGCAAGAGUGACAAGCGGGUCCGACGGAAAGAGGUCCGAA
Molecule: ribosomal RNA, 663 nt
Filed under: Eulimnogammarus cyaneus
Lineage: Eukaryota; Metazoa; Arthropoda; Malacostraca; Amphipoda; Eulimnogammaridae
Description: bacterial SSU rRNA
Rfam family: Eukaryotic small subunit ribosomal RNA
Source: RNAcentral